CGAGGGCAUCGCGUACUCGGGCAGCGGGUCUUCGGCGGGGCUGGCGGCCGCGGAGGGCAGGUGGCCGGGCCGGUCGGCGCCGCCCGCCGCCGCGUAGAGGCUCAUGGCCUGCAUGUUGCAGUGAGCCUUUUGGAGAGGUGCUGUGUGACAGGGAGGCUGUCGGAGGCAGAAGUGUUUGCAUGGAUUGGAGCCUGCAACUACCGUAACCAUCCCUGUGGCAAGAACACCCACAGAAACAGGUCUCAACUCUGGCCAGAUCCUCUGGCCAGAUCCUGGUUUUUGGAUGGAGUGACUUGAAGUGACACAUUUUGGCAGCAGUCACAUAACUUUUUAUACUAUUGCCUCUCUCCUUGUUACUUAGGCCUUGAGCUUGACGGUCUAAAGCACAGCUUCUGGAAAAAAAAAAUGCAGACAGCAAAACUUCCAAACACUGGCCCUUUAGAAAGCUCUGAGCUGAACCUGCCAAGUGCGCUGAGCGAAGGAGAGAAGGUUAUGAGUCUUACAUCUAGAUAUGUUUUGCUUAAUAUUCACCAUGGGCACACCUACAACUGGAACAACAACAGUUCUGGAUAGGAGAGAGCACUGCAAAAGAAGGUUGCAGUGAUAGGGAUGGCCAGCCUGGGCCAUGGGAGUAGUUUCAUGUCUCUCCCAUGCAUCUGUUUCCCUCCAGAGGUUGGGCAUGUCUUGCAUCUACACAAUAAGGGAAGGAAUGUGAGCCCUCCACCACACCUCUGGCUUUCAACAUUUGCUGAGCCUGUUUGUCUAUUUUGGUUUUGGUUUAUUUUUUGUUUUGUUUUCACCUAUGACUUUUGAGAUUGUUAUCUCAGCAGGGUAGGGACUGCUUUGUGUUCUACAUUUGUAGACUGACUGUGCCUGGGAUCUUGAGCUGAUGUGCUAAUAAUGAAUAAGCAUAAUUUUCUUGGGGGAUACUCUUCAAGGAUCCAUCUGGAACUGAUUGGACUGGUGAUAAAAUAGACCAUUUCCUUUGGAAGAAAAGAACUCAUGAUAACCACUGGAUUGAAAUGAUUGCUUUCUGCAGAGCCAGAUCCUCAAGCCAUUAAACCAAAUUGCAUCAGUUGUGGCUCUGGCUUGGAGAAAUUAAAGGUGAGCACCUGUACCAGCUCAGCACCACCACGCUGCAUGCAGUCGCAGAAAUUCAGCCACCGAAGAGUGAGCAAGACUAGAGCCUGGAUGAUGCUGCUGGAUUUCGUGUGUGUGCAUUAUGUGCCAGGAAAGACCAUGAGGUGGUGUUAGGGAAAACUGCUGGAUUAGGCAGUUCCAGCAUUGAGAUUGGUUUCUUACUCUGAAAGCUGUCCCUCACAAAGUGCACUGUGCAACAGUGGCAUAGGGUUUUUUUGUACAGACUUAAAUAUACUCCUUAACUCUUCAAAAUAAUGUUAUCUCUUCCAGUGCAUUUCCCAUUGAAGUGAAUGGAAAUGUUCCCAUUGACUUUAAAGCACAAUUUCCUCCACCUACUCCUUCUUAAAAGACUUAAUCAAGCAUGUUUAGUGGAAACCUAUGAGAGUUGUCUAAUGACUGGCUUGCUUUGCCCAGGGAAAAACGUAACUAUAAACUGAAACAUGAUGCUGAAAACUAAGUUUAGUAGAAAGUGUUUAGUCUAGUGCUGGAUGAAUGAUGGAAGCUUGUAUUUGUGAAUAAUUUAUUUGACAAUUGGUGUGGGGAAAAAAAUGACCGAAUAAGUUCUUUGCUCGUUUUUUCUUGCCUGUCUACCAAACUGGCUGCACAAUGAGCAAACAAAUGGCUAAUAUUUAUUCAGGAGCAAAGAGGUCAGCUUUUGUCAAAAAUGUUUUUAGUAGUGGCUUGGACAAGCACCAGAUUAGCUUAAUUUUCUUAUGUCCUCUGCAUAGUAAACAAAGGAAGCUGUGCUAUUAGUUACUGAAUUCACUGUGAAUUUUGCAUCUCGCCAGUAACGCUCACACUUCACAGCAAAUCCUCUGUUCUAAAGACUCUGCCAAUGCUGGAGCUUGGCUUUCAUGCCUGCAGAAAACCUCCUGAAGCUUUAGAAACCUCUAAAGUGAGUUUCUCUUUAUAGCCUGUGCAGGAGGUGCUGCCCACCUUCAGCCCCUACCGAAAAGGGCUUCUUCUGAGUCAGGUGUGGUGUUGCGGACAGCAGCUGGCUACAGGGCUGACAGAGCAGGAGCUGCACUGCUGAAGAGAAGGUGUGCUUUGUGAUCAGGAAGGCUGCCAUCUUCACAUAGGCUGAUGUAAAUAGUUGCUGAUUGCCAGACAGAAGGUGCUUAUUAAUUAUUUUUCCUCUUAGUGAGAGAGGAAAUACAGACAGACGUCGGAGUCUCUGAAGAGCUCUCUUUAUUAGCUUGACCUGACAGCACCACCGAGGUGUUUUGCUUGGGGACAAAAUCCACGUUUUGCCUUGCAAUUUAGUAAGCUUGUCUGCAUUGCCUCCCACGCUUCCUCCUACAACAUUUCCCUUCCCCUGUGACACACCCAGGCUUCUUUUUUGCUAGUCCUUCAUCCUCUGCUACCUUCCUGCCUUCUCCCAAGCUGCCCUAUGAGCUUAAAAGUGUUAUAAAGUGAAUAUAUAUUUUAA
Long non-coding RNA from Haemorhous mexicanus (house finch), 2569 nucleotides. RefSeq lists it as uncharacterized. The transcript has 4 exons. The record is from RefSeq and is a predicted model, not a curated record. Lineage: Eukaryota; Metazoa; Chordata; Aves; Passeriformes; Fringillidae.